RNAcentral lists this transfer RNA (65 nucleotides) under Ricinus sp. ADS-2020. Its description in RNAcentral is "tRNA-Gln". Lineage: Eukaryota; Metazoa; Arthropoda; Insecta; Psocodea; Ricinidae. The record is from RNAcentral.
UACGUGAUGAUGUAAAUGCAUAAAAAUUUUUGAUAUUUUUUGGAAUAGGUAUCUAUUUCACGUGU